Molecule: transfer RNA, 75 nt
Filed under: Candidatus Fermentibacterota bacterium
Lineage: Bacteria; Pseudomonadati; Candidatus Fermentibacterota
Description: tRNA-Ile
Rfam family: tRNA
About the family: Transfer RNA (tRNA) molecules are approximately 80 nucleotides in length. Their secondary structure includes four short double-helical elements and three loops (D, anti-codon, and T loops). Further hydrogen bonds mediate the characteristic L-shaped molecular structure. tRNAs have two regions of fundamental functional importance: the anti-codon, which is responsible for specific mRNA codon recognition, and the 3' end, to which the tRNAs corresponding amino acid is attached (by aminoacyl-tRNA synthetases). tRNAs cope with the degeneracy of the genetic code in two manners: having more than one tRNA (with a specific anti-codon) for a particular amino acid; and 'wobble' base-pairing, i.e. permitting non-standard base-pairing at the 3rd anti-codon position.
Source: RNAcentral
GGGCCCAUAGCUCAACGGUAGAGCGUCCGGCUCAUAACCGGCUGGUUCCUGGUUCGAAUCCGGGUGGGCCCACCA